RNAcentral lists this RNase P RNA (376 nucleotides) under Candidatus Moraniibacteriota bacterium. RNAcentral describes it as "RNase P RNA component class A". It matches the Rfam family "Bacterial RNase P class A". From Rfam's summary of the family: Ribonuclease P (RNase P) is a ubiquitous endoribonuclease, found in archaea, bacteria and eukarya as well as chloroplasts and mitochondria. Its best characterised activity is the generation of mature 5'-ends of tRNAs by cleaving the 5'-leader elements of precursor-tRNAs. The record is from RNAcentral. Lineage: Bacteria; Candidatus Moraniibacteriota.
AAGACAGGUUGGAUUGCCGCGCUUUGGAGCCUUUUUUGGCUUCUUUGUGAGGAAAGUCCGGACACUCCCCAUCGCUUGCGAUGGAAGGGUAAUGGGUAACUCCCAUACGCCGCGAGGCGCGAGGUGCGAACAGAAACGGCCGAUUCCGAAAGGGAUCGGAUAUCCGGGUGCAAAUCCGGAUAAGCCUCUCUGGUAACAGGGAGGGUGAAACGGCUAAAUCCUUACCUGAGUGCAAGGUCGAGCUCCCGUUCAUAUUGCAGCUGCGAUUGAGUGGGAGAGAACCGCACGGAUCUGGCUGGCAACAGUCAGGCAAGAGAAAUGGCAAUCGUCCCGCUUCGGCGGGAUACAGAAUCCGGCUUAUAGGCCUGUCUUAGAA